Molecule: unclassified non-coding RNA, 340 nt
Filed under: Hevea brasiliensis (rubber tree)
Lineage: Eukaryota; Viridiplantae; Streptophyta; Magnoliopsida; Malpighiales; Euphorbiaceae
Source: RNAcentral
UGCACACCAUUGCUAGCUCCUGUACUAAAGAAAAUAAAGAAGGAAAAUCACCCCAGUAGCAUUUGGGUUCCGGUCGAGUGAUCGAGUCCAGUCUCUUGGAAGGGAAGAGAAAGGUAGAUACGUGACGAUGGCUGCACCAGCUUCGAUUCAAAAGACUGAGGAAGAGUGGCGGGCUAUUCUCUCUCCCAAGCAAUUUCCUAUUCUCCGGGAGAAAGGAACUGAAUUGAAAUUCACAGGAGAAUACGAUAAGUUCUUUGGUGAAGGAGUGUGCAAUUGUGCUGGUUGUGGGACACCACUCUACAAAUCAGCUGCCAAAUUUGACUCUGGUUGUGGUUGGCCU